CAGUCGCCGCGGUAAUACGAAGGGGGCUAGCGUUGUUCGGAUUUACUGGGCGUAAAGCGCACGUAGGCGGACUUUUAAGUCAGGGGUGAAAUCCCGGGGCUCAACCCCGGAACUGCCUUUGAUACUGGAAGUCUUGAGUAUGGUAGAGGUAAGUGGAAUUCCGAGUGUAGAGGUGAAAUUCGUAGAUAUUCGGAGGAACACCAGUGGCGAAGGCGGCUCACUGGACCAUUACUGACGCUGAGGUGCGAAAGCGUGGGGAGCAAACAGGAUUAGAUACCCCAGUAGUCCCUGUCUCUUAUAC
This 301-nucleotide ribosomal RNA is filed under the name uncultured bacterium. RNAcentral describes it as "partial 16S ribosomal RNA". It matches the Rfam family "Bacterial small subunit ribosomal RNA", at positions 509 to 807 of the family's 1533-position model. The record is from RNAcentral.